GUCCACGCCGUAAACGAUGGGCACUAGGUGUGGGAGGUGUCGACUCCUCCCGUGCCGGCGCUAACGCAUUAAGUGCCCCGCCUGGGGAGUACGGCCGCAAGGCUAAAACUCAAAGGAAUUGACGGGGGCCCGCACAAGCAGCGGAGCAUGUGGUUUAAUUCGAUGCAACGCGAAGAACCUUACCUGGGCUUGACAUGUAACUGACAGCCGUGGAAACACGGUCUUCCUUCGGGACAGUUACACAGGUGGUGCAUGGCUGUCGU
RNAcentral lists this ribosomal RNA (263 nucleotides) under uncultured bacterium. RNAcentral describes it as "partial 16S ribosomal RNA". It matches the Rfam family "Bacterial small subunit ribosomal RNA", at positions 793 to 1055 of the family's 1533-position model. The record is from RNAcentral.